Molecule: long non-coding RNA, 415 nt
Organism: Ailuropoda melanoleuca (giant panda)
Lineage: Eukaryota; Metazoa; Chordata; Mammalia; Carnivora; Ursidae
Exons: 4
Source: RefSeq, a predicted model, not a curated record
AGAUGAACUUCUUCCCGAAGAACGCAAGCUCCACAUCGGCAGAGAUCAUGUUACCUUUCUUAUUCUACACCAGUGUUGGAACAGUGUCUGACAUAGUCACUCAAGCUCUUUUCAGAGUUUCCAUUCCUGGAUGAAGAGUCCAGAGUUCUGUCAACGUCUCUGACGUGUCAUGGUUCAUCUUCCGUGCGUUUAUAGAAUGCUGUGGUUUUGCACUGCUGCCUGGGUUUCGGCCUUCUGCUUCUCCAUUGAAUUUCCUGUACCUUAUGCUGUAGAAGCAACAGAAUAUUCUCCAAUGUGCCCAAAGGUGCAAGUAAGGAAGUUUCUACUCCUCAGCAUCAACAUUCUACUAAGAUGACUGGUUUGAGGCAAUGAAAGGACAAAAAUACUGCAGCUUUCUGAAAUUAUUUAUGUACAG